Molecule: ribosomal RNA, 494 nt
Filed under: uncultured bacterium
Lineage: Bacteria
Description: partial 16S ribosomal RNA
Rfam family: Bacterial small subunit ribosomal RNA
Source: RNAcentral
GACGAACGCUGGCGGCGCGCUUAACACAUGCAAGUCGAACGGAAAGGCCUGCUUUCCCUUGUGGAUUGCGGGUACUCGAGUGGCGAACGGGUGAGUAACACGUGAGUGAUCUGCCCCCAACUUGGGUAUAAGCCUGGGAAACUGGGUCUAAUUCCCGAUAGGACUGCAGGGUGGUGCCUGUGGUGGAACACGAUUUUCUAGUGGUUGGGGAUGAGCUCGCGGCCUAUCAGCUUGUUGGUGGGGUAAUGGCCUACCAAGGCGGCGACGGGUAGCCGGCCUGAGAGGGUGGACGGCCACAGUGGGACUGAGAUACGGCCCAGACUCCUACGGGAGGCAGCAGUGGGGAAUAUUGCACAAUGGGCGGAAGCCUGAUGCAGCGACGCCGCGUGGGGGAUGACGGCCUUCGGGUUGUAAACUCCUUUCGACCGCGAGGAAGCCACCUGGUUGGAAGGGUGGUGACGGUAGUGGUAGAAGAAGCACCGGCUAACUACGUG